AUGGCGACUUACCAAACCAAGGCAAACUCCGAAUACCUGCAAGUACAGCUUGGGAGACAGAGCACCGGGUGCUAACGUCCGGACUCAAGAGGGAAACAACCCAGACCGCCAGCUAAGGUCCCUAAAAUUGGCUAAGUGGGAAACGAAGUGGGAAGGCAUAGACAGUCAGGAGGUUGGCUUAGAAGCAGCCAUCCUUUAAAGAAAGCGUAAUAGCUCACUGAUCGAGUCGUCCUGCGCGGAAGAUGUAACGGGGCUAAGCCAGUUACCGAAGCUGCGGGUGUGUACUAUGUACACGCGGUAGGAGAGCGUUCUGUAAGCCUGCGAAGGUGUCUCGAGAGGGAUGCUGGAGGUAUCAGAAGUGCGAAUGCUGACAUGAGUAGCGAUAAAGGGGGUGAAAAGCCCCCUCGCCGUAAGUCC
This 417-nucleotide ribosomal RNA is filed under the name Mesopusillimonas faecipullorum. Its description in RNAcentral is "partial 23S ribosomal RNA". It matches the Rfam family "Bacterial large subunit ribosomal RNA", at positions 928 to 1346 of the family's 2925-position model. Lineage: Bacteria; Pseudomonadati; Pseudomonadota; Betaproteobacteria; Burkholderiales; Alcaligenaceae. The record is from RNAcentral.